Molecule: ribosomal RNA, 1343 nt
Filed under: uncultured bacterium
Lineage: Bacteria
Description: 16S ribosomal RNA
Rfam family: Bacterial small subunit ribosomal RNA
Source: RNAcentral
GACGAACGCUGGCGGCGUGCUUAACACAUGCAAGUCGAACGGAGAGGCCCUGCUUUUGUGGGGUGCUCGAGUGGCGAACGGGUGAGUAACACGUGAGUAACCUGCCCUUGACUUUGGGAUAACUUCAGGAAACUGGGGCUAAUACCGGAUAGGAGCUCCUGCUGCAUGGUGGGGGUUGGAAAGUUUCGGCGGUUGGGGAUGGACUCGCGGCUUAUCAGCUUGUUGGUGGGGUAGUGGCUUACCAAGGCUUUGACGGGUAGCCGGCCUGAGAGGGUGACCGGCCACAUUGGGACUGAGAUACGGCCCAGACUCCUACGGGAGGCAGCAGUGGGGAAUAUUGCACAAUGGGCGGAAGCCUGAUGCAGCGACGCCGCGUGCGGGAUGACGGCCUUCGGGUUGUAAACCGCUUUCGCCUGUGACGAAGCGUGAGUGACGGUAAUGGGUAAAGAAGCACCGGCUAACUACGUGCCAGCAGCCGCGGUGAUACGUAGGGUGCGAGCGUUGUCCGGAUUUAUUGGGCGUAAAGGGCUCGUAGGUGGUUGAUCGCGUCGGAAGUGUAAUCUUGGGGCUUAACCCUGAGCGUGCUUUCGAUACGGGUUGACUUGAGGAAGGUAGGGGAGAAUGGAAUUCCUGGUGGAGCGGUGGAAUGCGCAGAUAUCAGGAGGAACACCAGUGGCGAAGGCGGUUCUCUGGGCCUUUCCUGACGCUGAGGAGCGAAAGCGUGGGGAGCGAACAGGCUUAGAUACCCUGGUAGUCCACGCUGUAAACGGUGGGUACUAGGUGUGGGGUCCAUUCCACGGGUUCCGUGCCGUAGCUAACGCUUUAAGUACCCCGCCUGGGGAGUACGGCCGCAAGGCUAAAACUCAAAGGAAUUGACGGGGCCCCGCACAAGCGGCGGAGCAUGCGGAUUAAUUCGAUGCAACGCGUAGAACCUUACCUGGGUUUGACAUGGAUCGGGAGUGCUCAGAGAUGGGUGUGCCUCUUUUGGGGUCGGUUCACAGGUGGUGCAUGGCUGUCGUCAGCUCGUGUCGUGAGAUGUUGGGUUAAGUCCCGCAACGAGCGCAACCCUUGUUCACUGUUGCCAGCACGUUAUGGUGGGGACUCAGUGGAGACCGCCGGGGUCAACUCGGAGGAAGGUGGGGAUGACGUCAAGUCAUCAUGCCCCUUAUGUCCAGGGCUUCACGCAUGCUACAAUGGCUGGUACAGAGAGUGGCGAGCCUGUGAGGGUGAGCGAAUCUCGGAAAGCCGGUCUCAGUUCGGAUUGGGGUCUGCAACUCGACCUCUUGAAGUCGGAGUCGCUAGUAAUCGCAGAUCAGCAACGCUGCGGUGAAUACGUUCCCGGG